UGAACAAUUUAUACUAUGUAAUUGACAAAUUUUCAACGUUUUAAUAAUAAAUAAUAAUUAACAACAUUGCCUAGAAUAUCGUUUGAAUAGUGUUGUUUUUUGGUUCAUUUUGACAAUCCGUUGUUUGAUCAAAAUCGUACAGAAUUGUGUUCCCAAAAAGGUACGUAUCGUAAACGUACGGAAUCGUGCUUUACUAGUUUUUUUGUGUUACCUACAACUUUUAUUGAUUACUUUUUAUAUUACAGUUAUAGGUUAAAGGAUAAUCGUGUUGAAAGUGCUAGGUGUCCCCCGCCCGGCGUUGCCAGUGCCAUUU
Non-coding RNA from Cinara cedri, 313 nucleotides. The record is from the annotation of a GenBank genome assembly. NCBI's taxonomy places the organism in Eukaryota, Metazoa, Arthropoda, Insecta, Hemiptera, Aphididae.